Xenia sp. Carnegie-2017 is the source of this 2194-nucleotide long non-coding RNA. RefSeq lists it as uncharacterized. The transcript has 4 exons. Lineage: Eukaryota; Metazoa; Cnidaria; Anthozoa; Malacalcyonacea; Xeniidae. The record is from RefSeq and is a predicted model, not a curated record.
CUGCAUUGUUUGACUGCGACUCUACGCCUGCUAUGAUAACGAGCUUCACAAAUUCUAAAAGCAAUGGCAUUGAAACAGAUAGCAUCAUUUUUCUCCAGAUUUUUUAUGGUAUUUUGACAAAUUUCUGAUUUAAACAAGCUCUUCACUCCUCUCGACACAGCAACCUGCAGUGUUUGACUGCGACUCUACGUCUGCUAUGAUAACGAGCUUCACAAAUUCUAAAAGGAAUCACAUUGAAACAGAAAGCAUCAUUUUCCUCAAGACGUUUUACGGUAUAUUGACAAAUUUCUGAUUUGAACAAGCUCUUCACUCCUCUCGACACAGCAACCUGCAGUGUUUGACUGCCACUCUACGUCUGCUAUGAUAACGAGCUUCACAAAUUCUAAAAGGAAUCACAUUGAAACAGAAAGCAUCAUUUUCCUCAAGACGUUUUACGGUAUAUUGACAAAUUUCUGAUUUGAACAAGCUCUUCACUCCUCUCGACACAGCAACCUGCAGUCUUUGACUGCGACUCUACGUCUGCUAUGAUAAAGAGCUUCACAAAUUCUAAAAGGAAUCACAUUGAAACAGAAAGCAUCAUUUUCCUCAAGACGUUUUACGGUAUAUUGACAAAUUUCUGAUUUGAACAAGCUCUUCACUCCUCUCGACACAGGUACGUCUGAUUUACACGAAUUUUGCCAUAUAUAAGUAGAGACGUUUGUUCAAAGAACAAUUUUUUUUAAUUGUUUGGUUUCUGAUGUCUGAUAAAUGACUAACAAAGCGUUCAAAAAUACACUGGCGAUAUUGCCAAAGUGAUUCUUGUUGCUCUUAUAAUAGCUACUAAGUUCGUCUAUUCUCACAGGAUAAGAUUCGUACCGUUAUAAUGUCACUAUUUUCAGACAUGGUAUUUCUAGAGAAAAACUGUUGUGAUGCGAGUCAUAACAGAUCCCUGUUAGUGUUAAAUAUUUUCUAUUAACCGAAACUUGUACUUAACAAUCUAAGGGCCUUAUGUAGGGAAUUGCAUCAUAAUAUAACUACUCCGUGCGGUCUGCUUUAAAGAACUCGAGAUUGACAAACUAUUAGGCAGACACACAUAAUGUGCGUAGUAAUCGUGUUGUGCUGUGACUUUUUUGGGGACAGAUGUUUUUUCAAUUAAGUUUCGUUUCGUGUUUAUUGCUCGCGCAAGCAAUGGCCACUAACAGGUUGAAUAGUUCGCCAUGGCGGUUACUAAAUGAAAAAUGCAGACAUGCAAACAAAUAGAGAAAAGUGAAGCUGUAAAGCAGCACAUUUGUUUUGAUGUAAAGAAAGUUUCUUGUUUGGUUCAUUUUUAACCCUUUACUUUGUUCCCCAUUUGCUGAUAUAUGUGCAUUAGUUCCCCUAGUUAUUACUGUAUUGUAAGUCUACAUUAUUUAGUCAAUCUUAGCACAAAUCGUCGAAUAGAGCACUUCAAGUUAUUGUAACAAAAAACAAUAAAAAUGGCUAGCAAAAGUUUUAGCUAAGUAAAGAACCGAUUACAUGAAGCACUUUCAGCCCAGGCCCAUUAUUGUAUCCUAUCAAAAUAGCGUACGCGAUUACAUGAGAACAAUUCUAUGUAUUGUGCCAGAUGCAUCGCUAGAUCCGUUACUUGUAUCCAUCACGUUGUAGUUAGGAGGGAUUAUAGCAAGUUCUUCUUUUACGUCGAUGACCCUUUUUUCUCUAGGUUUUUUCUGUGUCAAUUUCUCGCAAAAUUGACUGCACAGCAUGUUUAGGAACUUAUGUGGGUUUACUUGUGUUUAACUGACGUGUAAGCUAAACAGAACAAUAUCUUUUAAUCAAACAUGUGCGUCAACGAACUCCUUAAUUUAUUUCUCAAGGUCAUCAUAGUUGUAGUCAAUAUUUCGCGUUUUUAGCUUAAAACUGGCCAUUAACCUUUUAAUUAUAGCAAUGUUAAAUGUUUAACAUACUGUAUGUCACGAUGUUUUUUUGAAAACACACGAAUUUCUUCAUACAUUAAUACUUUAGAGAAAUUAAAGAAGAUAAGUGUAAAACUCUUCUCUUGCAUUAGCUAGUUCUUGUGGAACGACCGCAUGUAGUGCUCCUGUCAUUACGAAUAAUUUAUGUGUGUAAAAGUUUUAUCGUGACUUGGCAUUCUUCACUUGCACACUAUUUAAAUUUUAUAAGAUAUGCUAUAAUUCUAUAUGUCAAAGAAAUGCUAAAUACAAAUGAGAGGACAUAA